UCAUGGCUCAGUGGUUGAACAUCUGCUUUGCAUGCAGAAAGUCCCAAGUUCAAGCCCUGUUAUCUCAG
This 68-nucleotide transfer RNA is filed under the name Sphaerodactylus townsendi. Its description in RNAcentral is "tRNA-Ala". The record is from RNAcentral. Lineage: Eukaryota; Metazoa; Chordata; Lepidosauria; Squamata; Sphaerodactylidae.